Long non-coding RNA from Drosophila subpulchrella, 288 nucleotides. RefSeq lists it as uncharacterized. NCBI's taxonomy places the organism in Eukaryota, Metazoa, Arthropoda, Insecta, Diptera, Drosophilidae. The transcript is spliced from 3 exons. The record is from RefSeq and is a predicted model, not a curated record.
UUUACCGUUCCUGGCAAAGUCAUAGAACGAAGCGUAUAAAACUGGAUUACAUCUUGGAGGUUCCUGUUGAGAUCCAAACAAAAAGUGGAAACUGCUAGAUUUUGACGAAACUUGGCUGACAAAACGGAAUUAAUGAGGGAGAUUUCAGACUGGAAUCUCGUUAUCGAAAAAUUAAAUAAAACCCAUCUUACUCGGCGUAAGGAUGUGAAAACUCUCGACGGAGCUGAGUUUUUGAAAGUAUGCCGGGCGCCGGAAUUGAUUUAAAUCUUUUACCAAAGCAGAGACUAU